UUCGGGAAGAAACGACUGACUCAAUGCUGAGAGGUGAUGGGCCCCUUUCGGGGGGAACGGAUCAAGGCCAAGCUCCCAAGAAAAGCGUCGGUUGUUUUGCUUCGCGGCCCGUACCGGAAACCGACACAGGUGGACAGGGGGAAUACCCCAAGGCGCUUGAGAGAACGCGGGCUAAGGAACUCGGCAUAAUCGUCCCGUAACUUAGGGAGAAGGGACGCCUCUUCGUGUGAACCGUACGGGGGAGCAUGGAGAGGUCGCAGCGAAUCGGGGGUGCCGACUGUUUACCAAAAACACAGGUCUCUGCGAAAUCGGAAGAUGACGUAUAGGGGCUGACGCCUGCCCGGUGCCGGAAGGUUAAGAGGAGUGGUCAGCGCAAGCGAAGCCGCGAAUCGAAGCCCUGGUAAACGGCGGCCGUAACGAUAACGGUCCUAAGGUAGCGAAAUUCCUUGUCGGGUAAGUUCCGACCUGCACGAAAGGCGUAACGAGCUCCCCGCUGUCUCGGCCCGGGACUCAGCGAAAUUACAUUCGCCGUGAAGAUACGGUGUUCUCGUGGAAGGACGGAAAGACCCCGUGAACCUUCACUACAGGUUGACAGUGACAUUCGGGUGGGUCCGUAGAGUAUAGGUGGGAGGCGAUGAAGCCGGGGCGCUAGCCCCGGGGGAGCCACCAAUGGAAUACCACCCUGACCCUCCUGGAUGUCUAACCCAUUCCCCUGAUCGGGGAAGGAGACCCUGUCUGCCGGGUAGUUUGACUGGGGCGGUCGCCUCCCAAAUGGUAACGGAGGCGCGCAAAGGUGUCCUCAGGCUGAUUGGAAACCAGCCGUCGAGUGCAAAGGCAUAAGGACGCCUGACUGCAAGACCGACGGGUCAAGCAGAUACGAAAGUAGGCCUUAGUGAUCCGGUGGUUCUUCGUGGGAAGGCCAUCGCUCAACGGAUAAAAGGUACUCCGGGGAUAACAGGCUGAUCUCCCCCAAGAGUCCACAUCGACGGGGAGGUUUGGCACCUCGAUGUCGGCUCAUCGCAUCCUGGGGGUGAAGUCGCUCCCAAGGGUCUGGCUGUUCGCCAAAUAAAGCGGUACGCGAGCUGGGUUCAGAACGUCGCGAGACGGUUCGGUCCCUAUCCUCCAUGAGCGUAGGAAACUUGAGGAGAGUCACUCCCAGUACGAGAGGAUCGGAGUGAACGGACCUCCAGUAUGUCGGUUGUCACGCCAGUGGCAGCGCCGAGUAGCUGUGUCCGGAACGGAUAAACGCUGAAAGCAUCUAAGCGUGAAACCGUCUCCAAGACCAGGUUUCCCCUUUGAUAAGGGCUGUUGUAGACCACAACGUCGAUAGGUGGGACGUGUGCGGGCCGUGAGGC
Molecule: ribosomal RNA, 1355 nt
Filed under: metagenome
Description: bacterial LSU rRNA
Rfam family: Bacterial large subunit ribosomal RNA
Source: RNAcentral